CACCUAACAGCUAGCUAAAACAACC
RNAcentral lists this ribosomal RNA (25 nucleotides) under Atlantirivulus haraldsiolii. RNAcentral's name for it is "partial 16S ribosomal RNA". The record is from RNAcentral. Lineage: Eukaryota; Metazoa; Chordata; Actinopteri; Cyprinodontiformes; Rivulidae.